This 1601-nucleotide long non-coding RNA is filed under the name Manacus vitellinus (golden-collared manakin). RNAcentral describes it as "lncRNA (ENSMVIG00005006582.1)". The record is from RNAcentral. Lineage: Eukaryota; Metazoa; Chordata; Aves; Passeriformes; Pipridae.
AAUGUUUAAGAAUAUUACAAGGAAUUGCAAAUUUGUAACCAUCACAUGGAGCGAAACGAUAGAUGUAUGUUUAUUAAGUGACAAAAUGAUGAAGAAGCAAUGUGAACAGAUGCCGGGAUAUUUCCGAUGGGUAGUAAUUGGGACAUGGGUAACAAGUGAAACAAUUAAUGAAUUAAAAGGAUACUGUUUAGUUACAAAUUCAACACACCCAUGCUCUAAAGUUCCGGCUUCAGUAAAACGAGAAAAACAAGAAGAGGUCUGUCAAAAUAUUACCAGUUCUACAACCAUGGAAGAAUGGCAAACAAUUUGGGGACCCAGCCUGCUAGAGACAUAUAGUUAUAUUGGAAAGGUACAGUGGUGCAUUCACUGGAAGGGGAAAAAGAAUCAAACUUAUUCUACAGGAAAUAGAGGGAAUCAUAAUUGGAGGACAGAAACACAUACAAAAGAGGAUUGGAAUUGUACCCGAAUAUAUACAUGUGAUACCCCAGACGAUGAAAUAGGAUUAAUACCAGUCAGGGCCCUCCUGCAGUUAGGAUGUGAGUGUCGAGGAUAUAACCAUACUAUUAAAGGACAUGUGAAAAACAUUGAUUGUCACACUACUACAGUUAGAAGUCCCGGAAACCUAGUAUGGGUCAUGGGACAUGGUCAAUGGACCACCCACAUGCCACUAGACGGUCCGGUUGUACCUGUCACACUAGGGAUACCUACUCUUUGUCCACUCUGGAGAAAAGAGAAGUUAACACCAGCAGAGAUGCGACCACGGGAGAAAAGAGAAGUUAGUAAUGACAUUAAUGACCUGGAACUAACAGAUUGGCAUGAGCCAUCAGCAGGAGUUAAAUUCGGAUGGGCACUAGAAUCUUUGUUUGCCCCAAUUUCAACAUAUCGAAAUAGAGAAAUGUUGUUCAAAUUGAUGAGCCAGACCGAAAGGUUAGCAGCAGUCACUAAGAAAGGAUUUAAAGAUCUAAAUUUACAAUUACAAGCCACCUCUAGAAUGACCAUACAAAACCGCAUGGCAUUAGACCUGAUAUUACUCAAAGAACAUGGAGUUUGCGGUUACCUGCAUGCAAAGGAUGAGCAUUGUUGUGUACACAUCCCAAAUGUCACUCAAGAAGUAGAGAAAGAUAUUAAUCAAUUAGAACAAAUUGACGAGAAUGUUCAUAAACUGCAGAAAGAAGCGGAACACAAUUGGAUAGGACAAUUAUUCAGCUCCCUAGGUCUCCAUGUGUCAGGAUGGAUAUCUUCUGUUAUCCAGUACGGAAUAUUGAUUGUAAUAAUUGUUGUCAUAGCCAUAACUGUUUACAAGUGUCUUUUAGGAAUGAUUGUAAAAGAAGGUCAACAUACGAGACGCAUCAUGAAAGCUAUAACAAGAAAAGAAGUAAUCUCACCGCAAAAUGGAUCACCUCCUAUCCAUCAAGAAACUGCAACCUGAAGAUUGCUGUAUUUGAGCAUCCUUGCAAGCAAAGCCUGAAGAAUGCUCAAAAGGGGGGACUGUUGCAAAGCAGUUUAAAUUUAGUAGUAGAAUGGCUAAGGCUUAAGUAAGAGGGUAGGCCUAGAAAGCAACACUUUACAGUAGUGAGUUAAGCAGCAGCCUUGUUCGUGGG